This 584-nucleotide ribosomal RNA is filed under the name uncultured Acidobacteriota bacterium. RNAcentral describes it as "bacterial SSU rRNA". It matches the Rfam family "Bacterial small subunit ribosomal RNA", at positions 335 to 911 of the family's 1533-position model. Lineage: Bacteria; Pseudomonadati; Acidobacteriota. The record is from RNAcentral.
ACUCCUACGGGAGGCAGCAGUCGGGAAUUUUGGGCAAUGGGCGAAAGCCUGACCCAGCAACGCCGCGUGAAGGAUGAAAUCCCUCGGGAUGUAAACUUCGCAAGAAUGGGAAGAAUUAGCGAGCGCUAACACCGUUCGUGAUGACGGUACCAUUUGUAAGCUCCGGCUAACUCCGUGCCAGCAGCCGCGGUAAUACGGGGGGAGCAAGCGUUGUUCGGAUUUACUGGGCGUAAAGGGCGCGUAGGCGGCCACUGCAAGUCAGUUGUGAAAUCUCCGGGCUUAACUCGGAAAGGUCAAUUGAUACUGCAGGGCUAGAGUGCAGAAGGGGCAACUGGAAUUCUCGGUGUAGCGGUGAAAUGCGUAGAUAUCGAGAGGAACACCUGCGGCGAAGGCGGGUUGCUGGGCUGACACUGACGCUGCAGCGCGAAAGCCAGGGGAGCGAACGGGAUUAGAUACCCCGGUAGUCCUGGCCUUAAACGAUGGAUGCUUGGUGUCUGGAGUUUUAUAGUCUCCGGGUGCCGCAGCUAACGCGUUAAGCAUCCCGCCUGGGGAGUACGGUCGCAAGACUGAAACUCAAAGGAAUU